ACGAACGCUGGCGGCGUGCCUAACACAUGCAAGUCGAACGGUCCGGCACUCAACCGACCCUCAGUCUAGCUGUAGGUGAGGUUAAGUGCCGGAUAGUGGCGGACGGGUGAGUAACACGUGGAUAAUCUACCUGCAACACCGGGAUAACGCUGUGAAAACGGUGCUAAUACCGGAUACGUUCCCUUGUGCGCAUGUAUGAGGGAAGAAAGCUCAGGCGGUUGCAGAUGAGUCCGCGGCUGAUUAGCUAGUUGGUGAGGUAAAGGCUCACCAAGGCGAUGAUCAGUAGCCGGCCUGAGAGGGUGAACGGCCACACUGGGACUGAGACACGGCCCAGACUCCUACGGGAGGCAGCAGUGGGGAAUCUUCCGCAAUGGGCGCAAGCCUGACGGAGCAACGCCGCGUGGGUGAAGAAGGCCUUCGGGUUGUAAAGCCCUGUCUUAUGGGAAGAAGUCAGUGACGGUACCAUAGGAGGAAGCCACGGCUAACUACGUG
Molecule: ribosomal RNA, 492 nt
Filed under: uncultured bacterium
Lineage: Bacteria
Description: bacterial SSU rRNA
Rfam family: Bacterial small subunit ribosomal RNA
Source: RNAcentral